UGGGGGAUAUUGCACAAUGGGGGAAACCCUGAUGCAGCGAUGCCGCGUGGAGGAAGAAGGUUUUCGGAUUGUAAACUCCUGUCGUAAGGGAAGAGAAAGGACUGUACCUUACAAGAAAGCUCCGGCUAACUACGUGCCAGCAGCCGCGGUAAUACGUAGGGAGCGAGCGUUGUCCGGAAUGACUGGGUGUAAAGGGAGCGUAGGCGGGAUGGCAAGUCAGAUGUGAAACCUGAGGGCUCAACCUUCAGACUGCAUUUGAAACUGCUGUUCUUGAGUGAAGUAGAGGUAAGCGGAAUUCCUGGUGUAGCGGUGAAAUGCGUAGAGAUCAGGAGGAACAUCGGUGGCGAAGGCGGCUUACUGGGCUUUUACUGACGCUGAGGCUCGAAAGCGUGGGGAGCAAACAGGAUUAGAUACCCUGGUAGUCCACGCCGUAAACGAUGAUUACUAGGUGUGGGGGGAUUGACCCCUUCCGUGCCGCAGUUAACACAAUAAGUAAUCCACCUGGGGAGUACGACCGCAAGGUUGAAACUCAAAGGAAUUGACGGGGGCCCGCACAAGCAGUGGAGUAUGUGGUUUAAUUCGAAGCAACGCGAAGAACCUUACCAGGUCUUGACAUCGAGUGACGUAUCCAGAGAUGGAUAUUUCCUUCGGGACACAAAGACAGGUGGUGCAUGGUUGUCGUCAGCUCGUGUCGUGAGAUGUUGGGUUAAGUCCCGCAACGAGCGCAACCCUUAUCAUUAGUUGCUACGCAAGAGCACUCUAAUGAGACUGCCGUUGACAAAACGGAGGAAGGUGGGGAUGACGUCAAAUCAUCAUGCCCCUUAUGACCUGGGCUACACACGUACUACAAUGGCGAUCGAACAGAGGGAAGCAAGACAGCGAUGUGGAGCCAAUCCCAAAAAAUCGCCCCAGUUCAGAUUGCAGGCUGCAACUCGCCUGCAUGAAGUCGGAAUUGCUAGUAAUCGCAGAUCAGCAUGCUGCGGUGAAUACGUUCCC
RNAcentral lists this ribosomal RNA (996 nucleotides) under uncultured bacterium. RNAcentral's name for it is "bacterial SSU rRNA". It matches the Rfam family "Bacterial small subunit ribosomal RNA", at positions 355 to 1375 of the family's 1533-position model. The record is from RNAcentral.